Molecule: ribosomal RNA, 384 nt
Filed under: uncultured bacterium
Lineage: Bacteria
Description: bacterial SSU rRNA
Rfam family: Bacterial small subunit ribosomal RNA
Source: RNAcentral
UCAGCAGCCGCGGUAAUACGGAGGGUGCGAGCGUUAAUCGGAAUUACUGGGCGUAAAGGGUGCGUAGGCGGAAGCUUAAGUCUGAUGUGAAAGCCCCGGGCUUAACCUGGGAAUGGCAUUGGAAACUGGGUUUCUAGAGUGUGGUAGAGGAUAGUGGAAUUUCCAGUGUAGCGGUGAAAUGCGUAGAUAUUGGAAAGAACACCGAUGGCGAAGGCAGCUGUCUGGGCCAACACUGACGCUGAGGUACVAAAGCGUGGGGAGCAAACAGGAUUAGAUACCCUGGUAGUCCACGCCCUAAACGAUGUCGACUUGUCGUUGGGGGAAUUUAUUCCCUCAGUGACGGGCAUGAACGCGUUAAGUCGACCGCCUGGGGAGUACGGCCGC